RNAcentral lists this ribosomal RNA (628 nucleotides) under Hepatozoon canis. RNAcentral's name for it is "bacterial SSU rRNA". It matches the Rfam family "Eukaryotic small subunit ribosomal RNA", at positions 203 to 823 of the family's 1831-position model. Lineage: Eukaryota; Apicomplexa; Hepatozoidae. The record is from RNAcentral.
AUUUAUUAGAUAAAGCCAGUUCAUGCUUUUAUAGUAUGAAAAUUGGUGAUUUAUAAUAACUUAGCAAAUCGCAAAGUGAAAACAGGCGAUAAAUCAUUCAAGUUUCUGACCUAUCAGCUUUCGACGGUAUGGUAUUGGCUUACCGUGGCAGUGACGGUUAACGGGGGAUUAGGGUUCGAUUCCGGAGAGGGAGCCUGAGAAACGGCUACCACAUCUAAGGAAGGCAGCAGGCGCGCAAAUUACCCAAUUCUAACAGUUUGAGAGAGGUAGUAACAAGAAAUAACAAUACAAGGCAGUUAAAAUGCUUUGUAAUUGGAAUGAUAGAAAUUUAAACCCUUUUUAAAGUAUCAAUUGGAGGGCAAGUCUGGUGCCAGCAGCCGCGGUAAUUCCAGCUCCAAUAGCGUAUAUUAAAAUUGUUGCAGUUAAAAAGCUCGUAGUUGAAGUUCUGCUGAAAGUAACCGGUCUGCUUUUAAUAAAAGUGGUAUCUUGGUAUGUAUUUAGCAAUGAUGUCCUUUGAAGUGUUUUUUACUUUAUUGUAAUAAAGCAUAUUCAGGACUUUUACUUUGAGAAAAUUAGAGUGUUUCUAGCAGGCUAACGCUUUGAAUACUGCAGCAUGGAAUAAUAAGGA